Molecule: transfer RNA, 63 nt
Filed under: Acanthaspis cincticrus
Lineage: Eukaryota; Metazoa; Arthropoda; Insecta; Hemiptera; Reduviidae
Description: tRNA-Gly
Source: RNAcentral
AUCUUUUUAGUAUAAAAAGUAUAUUUAACUUCCAAUUAAAAGGUUUAUUUUAUAAAAAAGAUA